UUGGUGUUUUCACAAAGUCUGAAACUUUAUCUUGUGAGUGAAAACUGCCUUUGCUCGUCUCUUGGAUAAGUUGUGGGUUUAUUCAGCUGCUGAUAUUGUGGUCUUUCAACAUUAUUCAAAGGUUAUUGCAUCAUGGUCACAUGUUUUACAUGAAAGCAUCAGAAGGUCAACAAUUUCUUCAAGAGCUUUGACAAACAGACAACUCUGGCAACUGAAAGAGGGAAUACAAUUUAUGAGAUUAUGGUGCAAGUGAAGGCUGAUGCCUAUAGUGAAUCUUUAAGUUUGUUGUCUGAGGAUUUUAGAGAUCAAUUGUGUCAUUACACUGCAGAAUGCAGAUGUGUCUUGAGAAUGAAUACAAACUAGUGCUUCAGUAUUUUGUGUGCCUGCAGCUGCAUCUGUGUGUCUGCCCAGUGGUCUGUGUUUGAUGCCAUUGGUGUUCACAGAUGCUUAGGAUGUAUUUUUGGGCGGUUACUUGAUUUUCUUUACUUUAUAAAUUACAAAAUAGUUGCACAUUAUUAUAGUACUUGAAACUUUUGCAUCUGUCUAAAUGAUAAAGA
Dioscorea cayenensis subsp. rotundata (Guinea yam) is the source of this 557-nucleotide long non-coding RNA. RefSeq lists it as uncharacterized. The transcript is spliced from 5 exons. The record is from RefSeq and is a predicted model, not a curated record. NCBI's taxonomy places the organism in Eukaryota, Viridiplantae, Streptophyta, Magnoliopsida, Dioscoreales, Dioscoreaceae.